Non-coding RNA from Podarcis lilfordi (Lilford's wall lizard), 9563 nucleotides. The record is from the annotation of a GenBank genome assembly. NCBI's taxonomy places the organism in Eukaryota, Metazoa, Chordata, Lepidosauria, Squamata, Lacertidae.
UUCCCUUGUUGAAUCAGCAAUGUCUUUGCCACGUGGUACAGACUGAAAAUCAUCAAGGAUUUAUCCCUGGUAAAUGCACGCGACACCCAUGAAAAAAAGCCGUAUCUCUUCCGCGAAGUUGCUUUUUCGCAGAACUCCUUUCCAGCAAAAACCAGGAGAUUCUUAUAAAAAAAUACAGCCCACCACGGGAAGUUCGGUAGUACAGUCAGCGGUUUUUAUGGCACACUGCUACUUUCGAUUAUUCUCACAAGGUAUUUUAUUGUUGGUUUUAACUACAAAGCAAAAUGCAUAAAACUUGGCUAUAACAAAGGGAAAGGGGCAUGUACGUUAAUAUUCACAUUUGUUCAAAGCUGAAUAUUUGUUUUUGAGUUGCACAGAGUGGAGGUUAAAGUAUGGUAAGAGCGGCUGGACAUUAGCAUGAAGUAGGGAAGGCUGAACAUUGUCAGCCAAGCCUCGAUAGUGAAGGUUAUUACAGUAGUCGUUAGAAUCUGAGCUCCUCAGAAGCCCUCUUGAAGAAUUAUAUUGAGGGUUUACAUGCAGGAGGAAGCAGGGAAGAUGAAUACAGUGGUACCUCGGGUUACAUAUGCUUCAGGUUACACACUCCGCUAACCCAGAAAUAGUGCUUCAGGUUAAGAACUUUGCUUCAGGAUAAGAACAGAAAUCGUGUUCCGGCGGCAGCAUGAGGCCCCAUUAGCUAAAGUGGUGCUUCAGGUUAAGAACAGACCUCCAGAACGAAUUAAGUACUUAACCCGAGGUACCAUUGUACAGUAUGCUUGCUGCUCCACUAGUUGGUGGGCUGCUGUCUGAAGUGGGAAUGCUGCUUGCACUGACUCGGUGGAUGAUGCAGAAUCCUGAUUUCCAGGGUUCUAUCAGAAGGUCGGCGGUUCGAAUCCCCACGAUGGGGUGAGCUCCCGUUGCUCGGUCCCUGCUCCUGCCAACCUAGCAGUUCGAAAACAUGUCAAAGUGCAAGUAGAUACAUUGGUACCGCUCCAGCGGGAAGGUAAAUGGCGUUUCUAUGCACUGCUCUGGUUCGCCAGAAGUGGCUUAGUCAUGCUGGCCACAUGACCCGGAAGCUGUACGCCGGCUCCCUCGGCCAAUAAAGCGAGAUGAGCGUCGCAACCCCAGAGUCGGCCACGACUGGACCUAAUGGUCAGGAGUGCCUGUACCCUUUACCUUUACUAUAACAUGAAAAGCGAGUACAGAAAGUUCCCCGCUUCACAUGCUUUGUGGAGGGUGACAAGAAGCUUGCAAACCUACAAAAAUUUAACUAAAAAACAUCAAGAGAAAUGUCACUUAAGGGAACUACAUAAUUUCCUCUAACUUUUUUUCCUAACGAGAUAAUAGGUCUUCUUAAUUUCAUUACUAUUAUUUGUUAAAUUUGUAUGCUGCCCUUCAGCUUGCCAAAGACCCCAGAAAAGUUCACAACAGUAAAAUACAAAAUGAGUAUACAAAAUACAUAAUCAAACAAAAACAAACCAAUAGUGUUGGUUUUGGGUUUUUUUAAAAAAUAGAUUGUUGAUCAGCCAGACAACAUUCUCUGAUUGAAGAGAAACCUGGUGCCUAAAAAUAUGUAAUGAAGGUGCCAGGCAAGCCUCCCUGGGAAGAACAUUCCACAAAUAGAGAGCCUCCACAGAAAAGGCCUGUUCUCAUGUUGCCAUCUUCCAAACCCCUUGUAGAGGAAACAAACAAAGAAGGGCCUCAAAUGAUGACUGCAGGGCCCAGGUCAAUUCAUAUGGGGAGAGGUUUGUCCUUGAGGUAUUGCAGUUGUGAGUAGUUUAACCAGCACUUUGAGCUGGGCCCAGACUAAUUGGCAACUGGUGCAAUCAGUUCAGGAUCAGUAUAAUAUGCUAAAACGGUAUUUCCCUGUUCAGCAACCUUAGCACCAAAUUCUGCAUCAGCUGAAGUUUCCGAAACAUCUUCAGACCUGCAGAUGUAAAAGAGAAGUAGAGCUGUGUGUCGUGGGCAUAUUGCUGACAGCAUACUCCAAAACUCUAGAUAACCCCAUUCAGCUGUUUUAUGUAGAUGUUAAACAGCAUAGAGGAUAAAAUUGAACCCUGAAGAACUCCACAUUGAUGGUUCCACAGGGCCAAAGAGUACUCCCCAAGCAUUACUCUCUGGAAACAGCCCUCUAAGUAAGAGUUGAACCACUGAAAAGUGGGGCCGCCCAUCCCUAACUCAGAUAGCUGCUCCAGAAGGAUACCAUGGCUGAUGGUAUUGAAACCCGUUGCGGACAAUUAACAGGGACACAUUUCCCCUGUCUCUCUCCCAGCAGAGGUCAUCAUACAGGAUGACCAAAACAGUUUCUGUGCCAAAAACUGGCCUAAACCCUGAUGGAAAUGGAUUUAGGAAAUCAAUUUCCUCCAAAAGUGCCUGGGUCUGGUCUGUGACCACCCAAAAAACCUUGUCCAAGAAGAGGAGACUGUAGUUGCUUAGAUUUUCUGAAUCCAGGGACCCUUAACAGCCAAACCAUAAACCCAGCACUUCCACUGUAAUACUACUAGUUACAGCAGUACUGAAGAAUCUGGAUUCUUUUCUCUUUCAGCAAUAGACUAUGCUGGUGCAGCUUCCUCUUUUUUAAAAAGGGACAAUGUGUAUGUUACAAAUAGGAUCAAUGGACUACAUUUAACAAUGUGACCAUAGGAAGAGCAAUUGAAUGCACAGAACAGUUCAGUUGUCAUUGCCCACAUACUUUGAGAUGUGAAGGCCUGGAAAAACCCAGAAACAUUUAGAAGAAAACCAUUUUUCUCGCUUUUAUUUGUUUUCCUGGCAAAGAAAUUGGUUGUUUGGGGUAAAAUAAAAACCACUCUUGUGCAAUGUUUUCCCUUUCAAAAAGUUGGUUGAGAUAUUUCCUUAGGUAGCACUUCAAACACUGAUGCAAAUUCCUACAUCCAAGAUUCAAAAGGUAAUAACCCCUAUUCACUCGCUGGAUCAUCACCUCGCCGUGGUGAGUGGGCCUGCACGUUCCUCUGAUCUUUGUGAGCGAAGCCAUCGGGAAUCUCAUACUCCCAGUAGGGUCACACAAGGUGGUAAAAUCUGGAGGAGGAGGAGGAGGAGGAGGAGGAGGAGGAGAGGGAUUACAACAGCAGGCCCAUUUCAAUCCAAGCAUUAAUUCCAUGGAGUUUACAGUUGUAAAGCUGUGUCCCUUUUAUUUUGUUUUUACAUACCCAUAUCCCACUGAAAAGCACAUAAAUUGUUUUCAUACCACAUUAGGAAUAGUGUUAUACAACUCAAAAACAUUUUUCAGAUUUGUAUGAGUUAUAGAAUCAAAGAACUGUAGAGUUGGAAGGGACCACAGGGCUCAUCUAGUCUAACCACCUGCAAUGCAAGAAUCUCAACUAGAUCAUACAUGACAGAUGACCAUCCAACCUCUGCUUGAAAACCUCCAAUGAAGGGGAGUCUACAGUCUCCCAAGGGAGUCUGUUCUACUAUCAAACACCUCUUACUUUCAGAAAGUUCUGUUCAGUCAGAAUCUCCUUUCCUGUAACUUGAAUCCAUUAGUUCGGGUCCUGUCCUCUGGAGCAGGAAAAAAACAAACUUGCUCCAUCUUCCAUGUGACAGCCCUUUGAAGAUGGCUAUCAUAUCUCCUCUCAGUUUCCUUUUUACCAGGCUAAACAUAACCAACGCCCUCAGCUGUUCUUCAUAAGGAUUGAUUUCCAGACGUUUUAUCAUCUUGGUGACUAUCCUCUGCACACGUUCCAGCUUGUCAAUAUCCUUAAAUUGUGGCGCCCAGAACUGGACACAGUCCAGAGGACUUAGUUGACUGGGCAACCCAAAAGUGUUCUAAACAAAUAAAUGAAUGGGGGGAAAACAUGUCUGCAGCUUCCCUUCUAUCCUAGCCAUGUAUUUGAUUCCACUUGAGGCUUUUACCUUGCAUUUCAAGGCAUGGAUUCAGAUCAUUAAAACGUGGUGGUGGUUCUGCUUGUUGAAAGACCACUUGAAGCAGGUUGUGCAGCCAUGCAGGCUAGCCUAGUCCCAUGCCCCUAGGUUGCCCAGAAAGGGCUUUAUAAAUGUGGUAAUGUAUGGGGGGGUCCUAGCCUACUCUGGAUGCCCUUUGUAUGGCGAUGCUCUUAGCCAUCAGUGAGAAACAUAUGGCCCUCCUAAUCCCUGGGCAUUGGUCAUAGUUGCUGGGGCUGAUGGGAGUUGUAGUUCAGUAACAUCUAGAGCAGGCUUCCUCAACCUUGGCCCUCCAGAUGUUUUUGGCCUACAACUCCCAUGAUCCCUAGCUAGCGGGACCAGUGGUCAGGGAUGAUGGGAAUUGUAGUCUCAAAACAUCUGGAGGGCCGAGGUUGAGGAAGCCUGGUCUAGAGAGCCAAAGGUUCUCCAGCCCUGUUCUUCAAGCAAUACAAAUUUACUUGUAUAAGAACAUGAAAGCAAAUAUUUUCAGGGUUUUCAACAUUGUUUCUAAGCGCCUAGAAAAUUUACAUAAGCAUACCUAUCCAAAACCAUUUCCAUUGCUCACAUUCUACAUAUCUGGCAUACAGUUGCAUUAAAAUUGCAAGUUAAGUAACUUGGAAGGAAGGUGUCAUUUUGGAUCUCUUAUGGACACCCAGCAUUUAGUCCAAGCGCUUCAAAUUAUGUAACUUGAAGAGAAGGGAGAAAUGGCCUGAGUUGCUGAUCUGAUAAGAUUUUAUCACUCGAGGAACCAGAAUUUCCAGUAGGACUGGGGAGAAAACCUGGCUAGUAAAAAUUCAGAAGUAGUAGCACUUUCAGUAGUGUUAGACAUUAUGGCUCAUAAGAAUGGAAUUUGGUUGAUUUCAAAGAAACAGAUUCCUUGCUGCCUUUGAUCCCCAUAAUUCUUCACAAGAAUGCUUCUUGUUUUAUAAUGUGUGGUUCAAGUUUUAAAUGUUGGUGAGCUGUACUUAAAGGAGUUUCCUGAAAUUAAUGGUCUGUUUUAGGACGAGAAAGACCUACUGUAUAACCCAUGAUACAUGCGAGUUUUAAGCUUACAUUCCAAUGUAAACUUGUUCAAGUGAAACAUCCACAGAAAACAACAUACUGCAACACUGGUGGGUCAAAGCAAAUGUUAGUCUCAGCAAUGCAAUCAGAACUCAGCCUCUUACCAGUCCCAUCCCACCCCCAGCACCAUUUGGGACCCCAACAGUGGCACUGUGCUACUGUAAUUGCAAUACACAUAUAUAUAUAUAUAUACAUAUACAUAUAUAUGUAUAUGUGUAUAUAUAUAUAUAUAUAUAUAUAUAUAUAUAUAUAUAAAAUAUGUCAGUAUUAUAUAGAAAAAUACUUCUUAAAUAGGGGGUCUUCUGAAUUUUCAAAUGACAAAACCAAAUUCACAUAUUCUUUCGUCAUUCUUAUCUUUAGAACAAAAGAACAGUUCAAUAGAGUGAAGGAUAGACAUUCUUUUUCCAAAAUGGAUUGGCUGCAUUCAGUCAUAACAGACAUUUUUAUUCCUGGGUGGGAUCUAAGCAUAUGCACCUGGACUGGGUGUCAGCACUGUAGGCAUUAAAAAAAACAAAAAACUCUGACUUUAAAAAAAUGGAUGAUUCACAGCUAUGAAACAUCAUAGCUGUUUGCUCAGCUUCUAACAAACAAUAUAUGCUGCUUUUUCCCACACAUUUCUUGAAAAAGAGCUAGAUGCUGUGCUGUGUACAUCUUAAAGGCUUAACUGACUGAUUUUGGUGGAUUAGUUCAGAGUGUGUUCUUAUGUAAAAGCAUUUGUCUUUGCAAUGCUAAACAGUGCAAGUAUUUUAUAUACCUCCAAAGCUUUGUAAUCAUGUAGCACUCAGUGCUUGAGUCUCUGCAUGUAUACUACUCAGAAAUGUAGUGUCCAGGUCAAGGAAAGUCAGCACUCAUUUUUGCCUUGGUCAAACCACACCUGGAGUACUCUUUCUGGUUCUGGGCAUCACAAUCUAAAAAGAAUAUUGACAAGUUGCAACGUGUGCAGAGGAGGAUGAGCAAAAUGAUCAAGGAUCUGCAAACUAAGCCUAAUGAGGAACAGUUGAGGGAGUUGGGCAUGUUUAGCCUGGGAAAGAGGAAACUUGAGAUGAGCUAUGAUAGCCAUCUUCAAAUAUUUAAAGGGCUGUCACAUGGACGAUGGAGCAAGCUUGUUUUCUCCUGCUCCAAAGAGUAGGACUUGAACUAAUGGAUUCAAGUUAUAAGACAGGAAGAACCUUCUGAUCCUAAGAGCUGCUUGACAGUGGAAGAGACUCCCUUGGGAUGUGACGGACUCUCAUUCUUUUGAGGUUUUUAAGUAGAAGUUGGGCAGCCAGAAAAGACAGCAAGAUCAAGGAAAUAGAAGAGAAAGAAACAGAAAGGUUAGAAUGCUAUGAGUUACAUGUUGCCAGGCAAAAAGAAGCAGUGGGUUCCCCAAGUUUCACAACGACCCAGGAGUCUGGGGCUACAGCUGCAUAGCAGGGAUCUUGAAAUGGCUGCGCAUGGACACAAGACAUACCCUACCCUUCAAAGUUUGCAGACUGUGCUUCACCCAGGAAACUCUGCGUGGUGGAGAACCCACUACAGGUGGUUUAAGGAUGGAAAAGUUGUCACAUGGGAGUACACAAGACUUCAUGUCCCCUUAAGGACCUCAACUAACUUGGAGAGAAGAGGCAAGGGAAGAGAGUAGAGGAGCUACUAGGGGUUGAAAUUUUUCUGGUAAAGGGAAGUUCUCUUUCUGCAGUUCUCUUACUGCACAUGACUGUGGCAUUGUGGGAAGUCUUGCUAUUAGAACUAUUGCUUCUUUUCUCUUGCAUUCUGGGAAGUCUCGCUCAUAAUCUUUUCUCUGCUUCUGCACAUGAGUCUGAGAAUGUUCUGAACAGUUCCCAUUGAGUUCAUGAAACAGUGUAUCCUGACCUGUUCUUAAUGCAUUGCUGACCACAUCUACGGAACGUGAUUGUUGUAUUCUUUCAUGUUAUGUUCUCUCAAUAUUAAUCUUUAGUUAUAAUUUAAUUAGGAGGUUUCAUGCCUGUCUAGUUCCAGCUCCGAUUCUCAGCCUUUGAACUAUCAGUGAUAAAUGGUUAUAUGUAAUUCCCGCCUUGUACCUAUGUUAACCAAUCAACAACAAGUUGCUUUGUGUUUGUAUCAACCAAUCAGCCACAAGCACACCUGUGGCAAUGUUUGUAAUAUUCAAUAAAAGAGAGUUCCCGGGGCUUGCCCUGGCAGACGCCUCUCAUAUGACACCUGCCACUCGUCUGUCGUGAUUUACAACCCAACAUUCUGGAGCCUCCUAUUGAGACUGGGCAGUGAUGGGGCCCUUGGGGACAAAAACCUAAAGCCCCAGUUUAAUGAGAAGUGUGUGUGUGGAGGGGGUCCCUGAGACAAAACAUGAACAUGAUUGAGACUGAGGCUAAGGAGGGAGAGGAUUCAAAAACAAAAGGUUGCCAAGUAACUGGAGACCUGUUACCUUCAAAUUUUUUUGCAAGUGGAUGGAAGCAUAGUUGAGCCAAUCCAGACAGGUAUAAGUCAACAGAGACUGUACUUGACCUUACAUGUCAGGUGUUAAAGAGUGGUGCACCAAUAGAUAUCCAUGUGAAAAACAAGGGUUGAGGUCUGUGGCUGAUUUAACCAGAAGGGGCAGUGUUCAUCAGGAAAAUAUAUUUGUUCUCUUCAGGGGUGAUUACGGUAAUUGCCAAAUAGAGGUUCGUGCCAAGUAGACCAGAUGCAGAGUUGGGUAUUUACAUGCGUCUAGAGCCCUUGCUCCCCUUUUAGGGUUUGCCAGUCUUUCUGGGCCACUGAGCAGAUUUGUAAUAUGCUUCUGAACUCACUCCCGUUGGAGGCACUGAUCACUGAUGGCUUUCCAUCACCUAAUUAACAAUACAUCUGUUCUCGCAGGAUUUCAUGGGUUUUUGUUUAAGCUUGGUUUUAGGAUUUCCUGCACUGUAAUUACUGUUGCUGUUAAUUUUUGAUUAUUUUAAUUGUGCUCCUGGUUUUAAAUGCUGUGUGAUUUCAAUAUCUUGGGAACCACUUUGUGACAAGUGUCACGAAACGUGGUCUAAAGAAUAUUACUAAAUAAAUCAAUAAAAUGGGCACGUUAUUUAAAAAUACAUUCGGAGGAAAACAAUCCAUUUUAAAAGAUAUGAAAUAAAUAAACUACAAAUGCAGUCAAACUAGUGACACCACCCCCUUGCUUUUGUUUCUGGAGCAGACAUUGCAUGCAGAGCAUUAACUGUGUUUGGAUUUGUUUGCAGUUCAAUAUCUUACGUGCUCAUGCUUUUAUCCAUUUUUUUGGAAAAAUGUAUUUGAAAGGGUGCUCCACUGGGUACGGGUGGGGUGCUGCCUCCUCGUUAGUUCUAAAGUAAUUGCCUCUUGGCACGCCAAUGAAAUGUAUGUGGGUAUUGCAGCUGGUGUAGAUCAGACCAUCUUUCAGAAAUUCCAGUUCAGUGUCCUGUAUGUUUAUGCAUUCCUUCAAGAGGUUUUAAAACAUUGGGUAAACAAUGCAUAGCAAUGUAUUCAUUUUCCUUUUGGCUAUUGAACUGAGAAUUUAUCAUUUUAUUUACCGCACCACUUUUAUCAGCUCUGAACCAAGAGAGUUUUUUGCUUUAUUUUAUUUUUGUACAUGGUGUACUGACAUUCUGGGUGCAGAUUUCCCCAAAGGCAGAAUAGCAUCUCUUUUUUUAAGGACUCACUACUUGCUCUUGCUAAUGUUAUUAUGCUUGAAUUUGUUCUUUAAAACAGCCCAACUGUAAAAAGUGACACUAUGAAAAUGUCACACGGUGUGAUAUAGCACAUUAGCAGCUGAUUGGUUUGUUGUAAAGUGAACUUUUGUAAACCACACUGAAGUCAUUAUACUCAACCCAAAGUACAGUGGUACCUCGGGUUAAGUACUUAAUUCGUUCUGGAGCUCCGUUCUUAACCUGAAACUGUUCUUAACCUGAAGCACCACUUUAGCUAAUGGGGCCUCCUGCUGCUGCCGCAUCGCCGGAGCACGAUUUCUGUUCUCAACCUGAAGCAAAGUUCUUAACCCGAGGUACUGUUUCUGGGUUAGCGGUGUCUGUAACCUGAAGCGUAUGUAACCUGAAACGAGUGGUAAACCGAGGUACCACUGUAAACCUCUUCACCUCCAAAGCUGCAGUCCUAUGCUCAGAGUGGCCAUAGUGGUUUAAACCUGAAAAACACUACAGAAUAGGUAAACUCUUUCCUUUAUUCCAACUGACACAUUUCCAUAAUCACUAAUUCCAUAUAAAAGAUUAAGUUUAUGGUGGGCAAACAUAGGUCUUUAUCAAAGUUUCCCGUCACCAAUCACUAGUGGUUUUUCAGCUCAGCAAGAAAGACUGAAUUUUAUAAAGGUUGACUUUAAUCUUGUCAUUGUUCAUGUGAAAGUUCACUUGCAUAACUAUGCUGGAUAUGACUGAGUUCAAAAUUAUUCUUGCUGCAGUGCAUUACCGUAUCGGCUUUGGAACAAAAAUCCAUCCUGGCAGUUUGUUAACACCUUCUUCUGCCUCUGCUGCUGCCUUUAAUGAUCAAAGUUUGUAAGGAACCAUUUAUUUAGCUCCAAGAAAUCAGCAGCAGAUGAUGCAAUGAAAGCUGGCACUGCUGUCUGAAAAGGUAAACCGUAUUAGAUAGCUACUGAACUGUGAAGCUUAGAGGACUAGAGCACACUCAAAGCACCUGAA